RNAcentral lists this long non-coding RNA (1579 nucleotides) under Podarcis lilfordi (Lilford's wall lizard). The record is from RNAcentral. Lineage: Eukaryota; Metazoa; Chordata; Lepidosauria; Squamata; Lacertidae.
UGCUUUCCCGUUGUGUGAUCAUUUUUUUGUGUCAGCAAUAAGAAGAAAAUAUUAAGAAGACAAAGACAAUGCAAAUAUGGUGACCAGGCAAACUGGACUUUUCCUCUCCACACAUUUAGCCCUUUUCAGUGGUGAACCAUGUAUAUAUUACACCUAUUGCUUAUUCUUAAAUAUUUUUAGAAUACAAGUCUGGCACCAACCUUUUGUUUUCAGCUUCGUGCUUCAAGUUAACAGUGCAAUGACCCUAGAACUGCCAUCAUUGUCAAGAUUGUGCCAGCUGCAUAUGUAGCACUAUCUGCUUGGAAGCCCAACAGCAGCCCAACACAAUUCCCAGAUGACCAGGUGGAAUGUAAGGGUUCACAUGAUGAAAACUAGGUUGAAACCCUGCACUUUAUCUUUGGUAGAAAAGGUGACUUUAUACUGUAAACUGCCCUACGAUCCUUGGAUGAAGGGCAGUAUAGAAAUUUAACAAAUAAAUAAAAUAAAAGCUGUCUUGCCUUGGGAAAGGGGCAGUUCUCUGCCUAAUCAGGAACAUUGGUGAACAACAAGAAUAACCAGGAAGGUCGUAUCAGAAAGUGUAGCCAAGCAGAGGAACCAAGAUGAGGUGAAUUCAUAGUUCAAAGGCCAAGACAAGAUCAGUGCAAAUAAGGCUGUUUUAGCAGGCAGAGUGGAAGGAGUACUUGGAGCCAAGUUGAAGAAACAGUUGAGAAACAGGGAUUACGUGAAAUACUGAACUCAUGCGCCAAAAUAUUUUGCUGAAAUCAAAAAAGCUUGGUUCUAACCAGUGCUCUUUUUUUUCUAAAUAAAUGUUAUGGGGUACUCUCAUUUUCCUACUCAUAUUGACAUACCGCCCCUCAAUGAGUCCAAAAUUAGAUUCACAAAAUGUUUAGGGGUAUGCAUACCCCCAGAAAAAAGCACUGGGACUAACAAAUGAAUUUGUGUAACAUCAGUUCAUUCUGGUAUUCAAAACUAAUUACUGGGCUCAAAACUAUUUAAUUAAGUGUAUAUCUUUGCACCUGAUUCCAGCUGAUGGAUCUCACUGGUCCUAGGUUUUCUUUUAUUUUUUUCUAGAUGAUUUACUGGCUGCCUUGGAGAGAAUGAUUAAAACUUUGAAGCUGACUUAGUGUUCUUUCAAAUGUAUUCAUGUGUUUAUGCUCAUAUGGUGCAUGUUAUUCAGAAAUAAUUGUUAUAUUCUUAGGUUUAUUUAGGCUAGUAAUGGCAGACUGCUUCUGAAUUAUAGUUUGUGAGUUGAAUUUUAAUGGCUUCCUUUGCAAUUUCUUGGGAAUAGAGGAUGCAUUACCUUAGGGUGGGUUUCCCUAAGUAAUUAUGUUCUAUUGUUUAACAUGCCAUCUAAAUUGACCAACCAUUGUUUGCUAUUUGCUAGAAAACCAGAAUCAGAAACCAUAGUUUGAAACAGUUUUGCAAACUAUAGUUUGUGCUAUGUGCAGUAUCCAACAUUCCUGUUCUGGGAGGCAAGUGACUUCCACUUGCGCAUGCACUUCCUCUCCUCUCCCCUGCUGCCCCACACAUGCCCUCAAAAGCAGCAGCAGUUGAGUUAGAGGUAAAAAGUAGAAUUCCC